Molecule: ribosomal RNA, 301 nt
Filed under: uncultured bacterium
Lineage: Bacteria
Description: partial 16S ribosomal RNA
Rfam family: Bacterial small subunit ribosomal RNA
Source: RNAcentral
CAGCCGCCGCGGUAAUACAGAGGGUGCGAGCGUUAAUCGGAUUUACUGGGCGUAAAGCGUGUGUAGGUUGUUGUUCAAGUCAGUUGUGAAAUCCCUGGGCUCAAUCUGGGAACUGCUUCUGAGACUGAACGACUAGAGUACGGUAGAGGGUGGUGGAAUUUCCGGUGUAGCGGUGAGAUGCGUAGAUAUCGGAAGGAACAUCAAUGGCGAAGGCAGCCACCUGGGCCUGUACUGACACUGAGACACGAAAGCGUGGGGAUCAAACAGGAUUAGAUACCCCCGUAGUCCCUGUCUCUUAUAC